GGUCACAUCUUGAAACGAUCAGUCCAUGAUGCAUCCGGCCAUAUCCCUAUAUAAUAAGGACACAAUACUCUUUUCCCAGGCUCUUGAUCUUUGGUCGUCAGUGCGUGCGCACGGACCGUCAGAUUAGAAAAGGAGUAUCCUGUGACAAGUGACCACCGUGUACGAAUAUUUAACUUUUAUAAUUAAUUUGUUUGAUUUGAGUUUUCUAUGCGUGUGUUGAAAAGUAUCCAACUGCAUACCAAAUCCUGUAUUUGUCUCAUUUCAACUUCAUUGCACUCCUGCGAUAGUUGUAAGUGCACAGCUUGUCGUCAUUCGAAUAACUGCUACAAUAUAAAUAAUAGUUCGGGCUACUCACAAUGCUGUUAUGUCAGUGAACGAAGUAGAAGAUUUACACAAUUAUCAACGUGGUACUCACAGUAUGCUAUGCUAAAAUAUAGCGUAACCUAUGAUGGUAGCGUCGAACGACUAUCUACAGGUAAAUGACGUCAGGAAACUUCGGAUACAGAUGUCGAGCGGGCACUCUUCCUGGUGGUGGCUCGUUCAAACUCAGACGGCGACGGCUCAAUUGAUCAGUAGUGACGACUCCUUGACUCCUCCUGGUGGUUUCUAAAGUGCACGUCGAUCUCCGUUGUACUUGACGGCGACAAUCCGUACGGCGGCUGUUGAGCAACAAGGGUUAAGGGUCUGAUUCAGGGGCGGAUCUAGGGACCUUGAUUUGGACUCUUGGACAGUUGGCCCAUCGGAG
Long non-coding RNA from Sipha flava (yellow sugarcane aphid), 745 nucleotides. RefSeq lists it as uncharacterized. Lineage: Eukaryota; Metazoa; Arthropoda; Insecta; Hemiptera; Aphididae. The record is from RefSeq and is a predicted model, not a curated record. The transcript is spliced from 4 exons.